AUGACUUUGAUAAGCAUCCUCUUCUGGACUCUCCUUUGCCUCACUCAGGGGUCUGAUGGACAAAAUGUGGUUGUGACUCAGCCAGCAGCCAAAUCAGUACAGCUUGGUCAGACUGUCACUAUUGACUGUAAAGCUAACAGAGUAGUAGCUUGUAGCACACCCUGCCUGUCCUGGUAUCAACAGAAACCAGGAGAAGCUCCUAAAGCUCUGAUCUAUUGGACAUCUUCCAGAUUAUCAGGAAUCUCCUCCAGAUUCACUGGAAGUGGAGCAGGAAAUAGAAUAGACUUCACUCUGACCAUCAGUGGAGUCCAGGCUGAAGAUGCAGGAGUUUAUUACUGUCAGAGUCUUCACAGUGGCAAUGUGUUCACACAGUGA
This is a non-coding RNA of Cyprinodon tularosa, 375 nucleotides long. The record is from the annotation of a RefSeq genome assembly. Lineage: Eukaryota; Metazoa; Chordata; Actinopteri; Cyprinodontiformes; Cyprinodontidae.